AUUGAACGCUGGCGGCAGGCUUAACACAUGCAAGUCGAACGAGUGGCGGACGGGUGAGUAAUGCUUGGGAAUCUGGCUUAUGGAGGGGGAUAACUACUGGAAACGGUAGCUAAUACCGCAUACCAUCAGAUGUGCCCAGUUGGGAUUAGGUAGUUGGUGAGGUAAAGGCUCACCAAGCCGACGAUCUCUAGCUGGUCUGAGGGGAUGACCAGCCACACUGGGACUGAGACACGGCCCAGACUCCUACGGGAGGCAGCAGUGGGGAAUAUUGCGCAAUGGGGGCAACCCUGACGCAGCCAUGCCGCGUGAAUGAAGAAGGCCUUCGGGUUGUAAAGUUCUUUCGGUAGCGAGGCGUUAACUACAGAAGAAGCACCGGCUAACUCCGUGCCAGCAGCCGCGGUAAUUC
RNAcentral lists this ribosomal RNA (406 nucleotides) under uncultured bacterium. RNAcentral describes it as "partial 16S ribosomal RNA". It matches the Rfam family "Bacterial small subunit ribosomal RNA", at positions 30 to 526 of the family's 1533-position model. The record is from RNAcentral.